GAUGAACGCUAGCUACAGGCUUAACACAUGCAAGUCGAGGGACCGGCGCUCGGGUGAGCAACACGUAUCCAACACGCCCUUUACUCGGGGAUAGCCGUGCGAAAGAAAGAUUAAUACCCGAUGUAAAGGAUGGGGAUGCUGUCCUUUAGGUUGUUGGUGAGGUAACGCCUGACCAAGCCUUCGAUGGUUAGGGGUUCUGAGAGGAAGGUCCCCCACAUUGGAACUGAGACACGGUCCAAACUCCUACGUGAGGAAGCAGUGAGGAAUAUUGGUCAAUGGGGGUUAGCCUGAACCAGCCAGGUGGCGUGAAGGAUGGAGGCUUAUGGGUCGUAAACUUCUUUUAUAUAAGAAUAUGUAUUAUAUGAAUAAGGAUCGGCUAACUCCGUGCCAGCAGCCGCGGUAAUUC
Molecule: ribosomal RNA, 406 nt
Filed under: uncultured bacterium
Lineage: Bacteria
Description: partial 16S ribosomal RNA
Rfam family: Bacterial small subunit ribosomal RNA
Source: RNAcentral